UAAAGCUACCAAGCGACGAUUCUGUAGCGGUCUGAGAGGAUGAUCCGCCACACUGGGACUGAGACCACGGCCCAGACUCCUACGGGAGGCAGCAGUGGGGAAUAUUGGACAAUGGGCGCAAGCCUGAUCCAGCCAUGCCGCGUGUGUGAAGAAGGCCUUAUGGUUGUAAAGCACUUUAAGCGAGGAGGAGGCUACUUUAGUUAAUACCUAGAGAUAGUGGACGUUACUCGCAGAAUAAGCACCGGCUAACUCUGUGCCAGCAGCCGCGGUAAUACAGAGGGUGCAAGCGUUAAUCGGAUUUACUGGGCGUAAAGCGCGCGUAGGCGGCUAAUUAAGUCAAAUGUGAAAUCCCCGAGCUUAACUUGGGAAUUGCAUUCGAUACUGGUUAGCUAGAGUGUGGGAGAGGAUGGUAGAAUUCCAGGUGUAGCGGUGAAAUGCGUAGAGAUCUGGAGGAAUACCGAUGGCGAAGGCAGCCAUCUGGCCUAACACUGACGCUGAGGUGCGAAAGCAUGGGGAGCAAACAGGAUUAGAUACCCUGGUAGUCCAUGCCGUAAACGAUGUCUACUAGCCGUUGGGGCCUUUGAGGCUUUAGUGGCGCAGCUAACGCGAUAAGUAGACCGCCUGGGGAGUACGGUCGCAAGACUAAAACUCAAAUGAAUUGACGGGGGCCCGCACAAGCGGUGGAGCAUGUGGUUUAAUUCGAUGCAACGCGAAGAACCUUACCUGGCCUUGACA
RNAcentral lists this ribosomal RNA (735 nucleotides) under Acinetobacter sp. BR-25. Its description in RNAcentral is "bacterial SSU rRNA". It matches the Rfam family "Bacterial small subunit ribosomal RNA", at positions 258 to 986 of the family's 1533-position model. The record is from RNAcentral. Lineage: Bacteria; Pseudomonadati; Pseudomonadota; Gammaproteobacteria; Moraxellales; Moraxellaceae.